RNAcentral lists this small nuclear RNA (307 nucleotides) under Neotoma lepida (desert woodrat). RNAcentral's name for it is "7SK RNA". It matches the Rfam family "7SK RNA". Rfam says of the family: 7SK was discovered as an abundant small nuclear RNA in the mid-70s but a possible function has only recently been suggested. Lineage: Eukaryota; Metazoa; Chordata; Mammalia; Rodentia; Cricetidae. The record is from Rfam by way of RNAcentral.
GGAUAUGAGGGCAAUCUGGCUGCAAUAUCCAUUACCCACUGACCAUAGAAUCGUUGUGGCUGAUCUGGCUGAUGAGGUAGGUGCUCCCUUCUUCCCUCAUCACCCUGUGUGCAUCCCUCGCAAAGCUGCACGUUUCAUCAAAAGGGCUAACCUUUCCCAAUAGAGGAGGACUAUUCUUAGUACUUAGUAGCAGUACUCCUCUGAUAGAACCUUCUCAAAGCUCUCAUGGUCCAAAAGGUGGAAGCAAUUCAUCUUUUCAACCAGCAAAUGAAUAUAUAGAAUUUGGUACAAGCCAAGAAUGGGAUAU